GCAAUCAUCGCGUUUCCCUUCCCCCCACUAGUCCCCAAAAUUAGCCCCUCCAUUCUCUCUCAAAAACAACUCCGCCUCUCUACCUCUCCAAGAAUCAAAAACCAGAUCUAACCUCUCUCUUCCUCUGUGGAUCUUUCUUUUCUUCUUUCUUUCAACAAUGGCGGUAGCACCUACGUCUCGAGAAGAGAACGUCUACAUGGCCAAGCUCGCUGAGCAGGCCGAGCGUUACGAGGAGAUGGUAGAGUUUAUGGAAAAGGUCUCCGCCUCAGUUGAGAACGAAGAGCUCUCUGUCGAGGAGCGAAACCUCCUCUCCGUCGCCUACAAGAACGUGAUCGGAGCUCGACGUGCCUCGUGGCGUAUUAUCUCCUCUAUCGAGCAGAAAGAGGAGAGCCGCGGUAACGAAGACCAUG
This 410-nucleotide long non-coding RNA is filed under the name Jatropha curcas. Its description in RNAcentral is "long non-coding RNA (JCUR_LNC000879)". The record is from RNAcentral. Lineage: Eukaryota; Viridiplantae; Streptophyta; Magnoliopsida; Malpighiales; Euphorbiaceae.